AAAGGUCUCGAGGGCGUGGGAUCUUUCAUGCAACAGAGGUGGAUAAUCAAUACACGAGCUAUCCUGGAUGCUGCUGAUGCUAAGGAAAGAAGGAAACUCUUUGGUGUGGAGGGGAAUUUUACUCUCUACUUGUUUUUUUUUUGUGUUUUUAUGUCUACUAAUUAUUUUUCUCUUUUGCAGAUACCAUGGCAUCUACAAGGAAACUCU
This 207-nucleotide long non-coding RNA is filed under the name Lathyrus oleraceus (garden pea). RNAcentral's name for it is "Pisum sativum (pea) long non-coding RNA (PSAT_LNC003907)". Lineage: Eukaryota; Viridiplantae; Streptophyta; Magnoliopsida; Fabales; Fabaceae. The record is from RNAcentral.